UACGGAAGGCAGCAGUGGGGAAUAUUGCACAAUGGGCGCAAGCCUGAUGCAGCCAUGCCGCGUGUAUGAAGAAGGCCUUCGGGUUGUAAAGUACUUUCAGCGGGGAGGAAGGCGAUGUGGUUAAUAACCGCGUCGAUUGACGUUACCCGCAGAAGAAGCACCGGCUAACUCCGUGCCAGCAGCCGCGGUAAUACGGAGGGUGCAAGCGUUAAUCGGAAUUACUGGGCGUAAAGCGCACGCAGGCGGUCUGUUUAAGUCAGAUGUGAAAUCCCCCGGGCUUAACCUGGGAACUGCAUUUUGAAACUGGCAGGCUUGAGUCUCGUAGAGGGGGUAGAAUUCCAGGUGUAGCGGUGAAAUGCGUAGAGAUCUGGAGGAAUACCGGUGGCGAAGGCGGGCCCCUGGGACGAAGACUGACGCUCAGGUGCGAAAGCGUGGGGAGCAAACGAGGAUUAGGAUACC
This 459-nucleotide ribosomal RNA is filed under the name uncultured bacterium. Its description in RNAcentral is "bacterial SSU rRNA". It matches the Rfam family "Bacterial small subunit ribosomal RNA", at positions 340 to 786 of the family's 1533-position model. The record is from RNAcentral.